RNAcentral lists this ribosomal RNA (437 nucleotides) under uncultured bacterium. Its description in RNAcentral is "partial 16S ribosomal RNA". It matches the Rfam family "Bacterial small subunit ribosomal RNA", at positions 29 to 507 of the family's 1533-position model. The record is from RNAcentral.
AGCGAACGCUGGCGGCAGGCUUAACACAUGCAAGUCGAGCGGGCAUCCUUGUGGUGUCAGCGGCAGACGGGUGAGUAACGCGUGGGAACGUGCCCUUCGGUUCGGAACAACUCAGGGAAACUUGAGCUAAUACCGGAUACGUGCGAGAGCAGAAAGGUUUAUCUGCCGAAGGAUCGGCCCGCGUCUGAUUAGCUAGUUGGUGAGGUUACGGCUCACCAAGGCGACGAUCAGUAGCUGGUCUGAGAGGAUGAUCAGCCACACUGGGACUGAGACACGGCCCAGACUCCUACGGGAGGCAGCAGUGGGGAAUAUUGGACAAUGGGGGCAACCCUGAUCCAGCCAUGCCGCGUGAGUGAUGACGGCCUUAGGGUUGUAAAGCUCUUUUCUCCGGGACGAUAAUGACGGUACCGGAGGAAUAAGCCCCGGCUAACUUCGUG